CUUCUCUGAUGUUAGCGGCGGACGGGUGAGUAACACGUGGAUAACCUACCUAUAAGACUGGGAUAACUUCGGGAAACCGGAGCUAAUACCGGAUAAUAUUUUGAACCGCAUGGUUCAAAAGUAAAAGACGGUCUUGCUGCCACUUAUAGAUGGAUCCGCGCUGCAUUAGCUAGUUGGUAAGGUAACGGCUUACCAAGGCAACGAUGCAUAGCCGACCUGAGAGGGUGAUCGGCCACACUGGAACUGAGACACGGUCCAGACUCCUACGGGAGGCAGCAGUAGGGAAUCUUCCGCAAUGGGCGAAAGCCUGACGGAGCAACGCCGCGUGAGUGAUGAAGGUCUUCGGAUCGUAAAACUCUGUUAUUAGGGAAGAACAUAUGUGUAAGUAACUGUGCACAUCUUGACGGUACCUAAUCAGAAAGCCACGGCUAACUACGUGCCAGCAGCCGCGGUAAUACGUAGGUGGCAAGCGUUAUCCGGAAUUAUUGGGCGUAAAGCGCGCGUAGGCGGUUUUUUAAGUCUGAUGUGAAAGCCCACGGCUCAACCGUGGAGGGUCAUUGGAAACUGGAAAACUUGAGUGCAGAAGAGGAAAGUGGAAUUCCAUGUGUAGCGGUGAAAUGCGCAGAGAUAUGGAGGAACACCGGUGGCGAAGGCGACUUUCUGGUCUGUAACUGACGCUGAUGUGCGAAAGCGUGGGGAUCAAACAGGAUUAGAUACCCUGGUAGUCCACGCCGUAAACGAUGAGUGCUAAGUGUUAGGGGGUUUCCGCCCCUUAGUGCUGCAGCUAACGCAUUAAGCACUCCGCCUGGGGAGUACGACCGCCAAGGUUG
Molecule: ribosomal RNA, 830 nt
Filed under: uncultured Staphylococcus sp.
Lineage: Bacteria; Bacillati; Bacillota; Bacilli; Caryophanales; Staphylococcaceae
Description: bacterial SSU rRNA
Rfam family: Bacterial small subunit ribosomal RNA
Source: RNAcentral